UAAAAUUAUGAGAGAGUGGCCACACCCAUGUGGAAGCUCCAUGGUUCCUUCUCUCUAUUGAAAGCCAUACUUUACAAGUCCCAACUACUUUUGAUACUCACCACCAAGAGGCAACAACAAUUUGUACUCCCUUUAUCUUUCUUUGUGCACACAACUGAGUAAUAAACAUGAAAAGGUUGGAGGGAAAAGUGAUUGGGGCUCUUUGCUGUAAAUUAUAAUGAGGUAUGAGUUGGGUGUUUGGAGAGUGAGAAAAGGAAAGAGAGAGAUUGGGAAAAAGAUUCAGUCAUCAUUUAUUUGUUGUGGGGGCAUCUUAUAAGAAAAAAAGAAAAAAAAAAGACAAGUGAGAAAGCGAAAAUGCAAGAGCAAGAACCUUGCCUCCCUAUAUCCUAUGCAAAUCCCCAUACCUUUUGUAGUUUCCUCACCAUAAAAAAAACAAACCCAUACCCUCUUUUUGCAUAUUGAGGCAUUAUAGUAUCAUAAACCAUCAUCAUAAUGACAAUUAUUUUACAGGGAGUGAACAAAAGCCCCACGUAUAUAAUAAGCUGGUGGGACAUGAGCACCAAUGACCCCUAAUUAUGUGCUUGAAGAUGAGAGAAAAAUUAUAUUAAAAAAAUAUUGCCAAAG
RNAcentral lists this long non-coding RNA (624 nucleotides) under Prunus persica (peach). RNAcentral describes it as "long non-coding RNA (PPER_LNC001777)". Lineage: Eukaryota; Viridiplantae; Streptophyta; Magnoliopsida; Rosales; Rosaceae. The record is from RNAcentral.